CUUUUUGUGGGGAUAGAGGGACUUGAACCCUCACGAUUUUUAAAGUCGAC
RNAcentral lists this transfer RNA (50 nucleotides) under Elytraria imbricata. Its description in RNAcentral is "partial tRNA-Leu". The record is from RNAcentral. Lineage: Eukaryota; Viridiplantae; Streptophyta; Magnoliopsida; Lamiales; Acanthaceae.